Molecule: ribosomal RNA, 492 nt
Filed under: uncultured bacterium
Lineage: Bacteria
Description: partial 16S ribosomal RNA
Rfam family: Bacterial small subunit ribosomal RNA
Source: RNAcentral
AGUGAACGCUGGCGGCAUGCCUAACACAUGCAAGUCGAACGGCAGCACAGUAACUGCUUGCGCUUACGGGUGGCCAGUGGCGGACGGGUCACGUAUAUACCGUAAUCUACUUUUUCGUGGGGGCUAACGUAGGGAAAUUUACGCUAAUACCGCAUACGACCUAAGGGGGAAAGCAGGGGAGCUUCGGACCUUGCGCGAGGGAAUGAGCCGAUGUGCGAUUAGCUAGUGGGCGGGGUAAAGGCCCACUAAGGCGGCGAUCCGUAGCUGGUCUGAGAGGAUGGUCACCCAGCCUGGAAGUGAGACAGGGCCCAGACACCUGCGCUAGGACACAGUCCAGAAUACUAGGCAAUGGGGGCGAGCCUGAUACAGGCCUACCGCGUGAGUGAUGAAGGCGCUCGGCUGGUAAAGCCCUUUUGUUGGUAGAGAAGUACAGCUGGUUAAUACGCCGCGGUACUGACGGUACCUGGAGAAUAAGCACCGGCUAACUUCGUG